UGCCUAGGAAUCUGCCUGGUAGUGGGGGACAACGUUUCGAAAGGAACGCUAAUACCGCACACGUCCUACGGGAGAAAGCAGGGACCUUCGGGCCUUGCGCUAUCAGAUGAGCCUAGGUCGGAUUAGCUAGUUGGUGAGGUAAUGGCUCACCAAGGCGACGAUCCGUAACUGGUCUGAGAGGAUGAUCAGUCACACUGGAACUGAGACACGGUCCAGACUCCUACGGGAGGCAGCAGAC
This 238-nucleotide ribosomal RNA is filed under the name uncultured Pseudomonas sp. Its description in RNAcentral is "partial 16S ribosomal RNA". It matches the Rfam family "Bacterial small subunit ribosomal RNA", at positions 114 to 354 of the family's 1533-position model. Lineage: Bacteria; Pseudomonadati; Pseudomonadota; Gammaproteobacteria; Pseudomonadales; Pseudomonadaceae. The record is from RNAcentral.